CAAGCAUAUCAAUAAGCGGAGGAAAAGAAACCAACCGGGAUUGCCUCAGUAACGGCGAGUGAAGCGGCAAGAGCUCAAAUUUGAAAGCUGGCUCCUUCGGGGUCCGCAUUGUAAUUUGCAGAGGAUGCUUCGGGUGCGGCCCCUGUCUAAGUGCCCUGGAACGGGCCGUCAGAGAGGGUGAGAAUCCCGUCUGGGAUGGGGUGUCCGCGCCCGUGUGAAGCUCCUUCGACGAGUCGAGUUGUUUGGGAAUGCAGCUCUAAAUGGGUGGUAAAUUUCAUCUAAAGCUAAAUACUGGCCGGAGACCGAUAGCGCACAAGUAGAGUGAUCGAAAGAUGAAAAGCACUUUGAAAAGAGAGUUAAAAAGCACGUGAAAUUGUUGAAAGGGAAGCGCUUGCGACCAGACUCGCCUCCAGGGUUCAGCCGGCAUUCGUGCCGGUGUACUUCCCUGGGGGCGGGCCAGCGUCGGUUUGGGCGGCCGGUCAAAGGCUCCCGGAAUGUAGUGCCCUCCGGGGCACCUUAUAGCCGGGAGUGCAAUGCGGCCAGCCUGGACCGAGGAACGCGCUUCGGCACGGACGCUGGCAUAAUGGUCGUAAACGACCCGUCUUGAAACACGGACCAAGGAGUCUAACAUCUACGCGAGUGUUCGGGUGUCAAACCCGUACGCGCAGUGAAAGCGAACGGAGGUGGGAGCCCCCUCGUGGGGCGCACCAUCGACCGAUCCUGAUGUCUUCGGAUGGAUUUGAGUAAGAGCGUAAAUGUGGGGACCCGAAAGAUGGUGAACUAUGCCUGAAUAGGGCGAAGCCAGAGGAAACUCUGGUGGAGGCUCGCAGCGGUUCUGACGUGCAAAUCGAUCGUCAAAUUUGGGUAUAGGGGCGAAAGACUAAUCGAACCAUCUAGUAGCUGGUUCCUGCCGAA
Molecule: ribosomal RNA, 915 nt
Filed under: Aspergillus flavus var. flavus
Lineage: Eukaryota; Fungi; Ascomycota; Eurotiomycetes; Eurotiales; Aspergillaceae
Description: LSU rRNA
Rfam family: Eukaryotic large subunit ribosomal RNA
Source: RNAcentral